RNAcentral lists this ribosomal RNA (440 nucleotides) under uncultured bacterium. Its description in RNAcentral is "partial 16S ribosomal RNA". It matches the Rfam family "Bacterial small subunit ribosomal RNA", at positions 338 to 795 of the family's 1533-position model. The record is from RNAcentral.
CCUACGGGUGGCAGCAGUGGGGACUAUUGCACAAUGGGGGAACCCCUGAUGCAGCGACGCCGCGUGAGUGAAGAAGUAAUUCGUUACGUAAAGCUCUAUCAGCAGGGAAGAAAAUGACGGUACCUGAGUAAGAAGCCCCGGCUCACUACGUGCCAUCCGCCGCGGUAAUACGUAGGGGGCAAGCGUUAUCCGGAUUUACUGGGUGUACAGGGAGCGUAGACGGUGCGCCAAGUCUUAAUUGAAAGGCCGCAGCUGAACUGCGGAACUGCUUUGGAAACUGGCGAACUAGAGUGCGGGAGGGGUAAGCGGAAGUCCUAGGGGAGCGGGGAAAUGCGUAGAUAUUAGGAGGAACACCGGUGUCGAAGGCGGCUGACUGGACCGUAACUGACGUUGAGGCUCGAAAGCGUGGGGAGCAAACAGGAGUAGAUACCCGAGUAGUC